ACCUAAGAGAUUAAGCGUUCCCUUCGGGACGGAAUGACAGGUGGUGCAUGGUUGUCGUCAGCUCGUGUCGUGAGAUGUUGGGUUAAGUCCCGCAACGAGCGCAACCCUUAUUGUCAGUUGCCAGCAUUUAGUUGGGCACUCUGGCGAGACUGCCGGUGACAAACCGGAGGAAGGUGGGGAUGACGUCAAAUCAUCAUGCCCCUUAUGACCUGGGCUACACACGUGCUACAAUGGACGGUACAACGAGUCGCGAAACCGCGAGGUCAAGCUAAUCUCUUAAAGCCGUUCUCAGUUCGGAUUGUAGGCUGCAACUCGCCUACAUGAAGUUGGAAUCGCUAGUAAUCGUGGAUCAGCAUGCCACGGUGAAUACGUUCCCGGGUCUUGUACACACCGAA
Molecule: ribosomal RNA, 395 nt
Filed under: uncultured bacterium
Lineage: Bacteria
Description: bacterial SSU rRNA
Rfam family: Bacterial small subunit ribosomal RNA
Source: RNAcentral